AUUGAACGCUGGCGGCAGGCUUAACACAUGCAAGUCGAGCGGUAGCACAAGAGAGCUUGCUCUCUGGGUGACGAGCGGCGGACGGGUGAGUAAUGUCUGGGAAACUGCCUGAUGGAGGGGGAUAACUACUGGAAACGGUAGCUAAUACCGCAUAACGUCGCAAGACCAAAGAGGGGGACCUUCGGGCCUCUUGCCAUCAGAUGUGCCCAGAUGGGAUUAGCUAGUAGGUGGGGUAAUGGCUCACCUAGGCGACGAUCCCUAGCUGGUCUGAGAGGAUGACCAGCCACACUGGAACUGAGACACGGUCCAGAGUCCUACGGGAGGCAGCAGGGGGGAAUAUUGCACAAUGGGCGCAAGCCUGAUGCAGCCAUGCCGCGUGUGUGAAGAAGGCCUUCGGGUUGUAAAGCACGUUCAGCGAGGAGGAAGGUGGUGAACUUAAUACGUUCAUCAAUUGACGUUACUCGCAGAAGAAGCACCGGCUAACUCCGUG
RNAcentral lists this ribosomal RNA (490 nucleotides) under uncultured bacterium. RNAcentral describes it as "partial 16S ribosomal RNA". It matches the Rfam family "Bacterial small subunit ribosomal RNA", at positions 30 to 507 of the family's 1533-position model. The record is from RNAcentral.